RNAcentral lists this ribosomal RNA (1392 nucleotides) under uncultured bacterium. RNAcentral describes it as "bacterial SSU rRNA". It matches the Rfam family "Bacterial small subunit ribosomal RNA". The record is from RNAcentral.
AGAGUUUGAUCCUGGCUCAGGACGAACGCUGGCGGCGCGCCUAACACAUGCAAGUCGAACGGAGAUCAUUCAGUAGAAGUUUUCGGAUGGACACCGAGUGAUCUUAGUGGCGAACGGGUGAGUAACGCGUGAGCAAUCUGCCUCAGAGUGGGGGACAACAGUUAGAAAUGACUGCUAAUACCGCAUAAGACCACAGCACCGCAUGGUGCAGGGGUAAAAACUCCGGUGGUAUGAGAUGGACCCGCGUCUGAUUAGGUAGUUGGUGGGGUAACGGCCUACCAAGCCGACGAUCAGUAGCCGACCUGAGAGGGUGACCGGCCACAUUGGGACUGAGACACGGCCCAAACUCCUACGGGAGGCAGCAGUGGGGAAUAUUGCACAAUGGGGGAAACCCUGAUGCAGCGACGCCGCGUGAGCGAUGAAGUAUUUCGGUAUGUAAAGCUCUAUCAGCAGGGAAGAAAAUGACGGUACCUGACUAAGAAGCACCGGCUAAAUACGUGCCAGCAGCCGCGGUAAUACGUAUGGUGCAAGCGUUAUCCGGAUUUACUGGGUGUAAAGGGUGCGUAGGUGGUAUGGUAAGUCAGAAGUGAAAACCCGGGGGCUCACUUCCGCGGAUUGUUUUUGAAACUAUCAGACUGGAGUACCGGAGAGGUAAGGGGAAUUCCUAGUGUAGCGGUGAAAAUGAUUAGUUAUUAGGAGGAACACCAGUGGCGAAGGCGGCUUACUGGACGGGUAACUGACACUGAGGCACGAAAGCGUGGGGAGCAAACAGGAUUAGAUACCCUGGUAGUCCACGCCGUAAACGAUGAGCACUAGGUGUCGGGGUCGUAAGACUUCGGUGCCGCAGUUUAACGCAAUAAGUGCUCCGCCUGGGGAGUACGUUCGCAAGAAUGAAACUCAAAGGAAUUGACGGGGACCCGCACAAGCAGCGGAGCAUGUGGUUUAAUUCGAAGCAACGCGAAGAACCUUACCAGGGCUUGACAUCCCUCUGACAUACCUGUAACGGGGUAUUUCUACGGACAGAGGAGACAGGUGGUGCAUGGUUGUCGUCAGCUCGUGUCGUGAGAUGUUGGGUUAAGUCCCGCAACGAGCGCAACCCUUGUCAUUAGUUGCCAGCAGUAAGAUGGGCACUCUAAUGAGACUGCCGGGGACAACUCGGAGGAAGGUGGGGAUGACGUCAAAUCAUCAUGCCCCUUAUGUUCUGGGCUACACACGUGCUACAAUGGUCGGUACAGAGAGGAAGCGAACUCGUGAGGGGGAGCGAAUCUAUAAAACCGAUCCCAGUUCGGAUUGCAGGCUGCAACUCGCCUGCAUGAAGUCGGAGUUGCUAGUAAUCGCAGAUCAGAAUGCUGCGGUGAAUGCGUUCCCGGGUCUUGCACACACCGCCCGUCA